UCAAGUGAAUAAGUGCACAUGGUGGAUGCCUUGGCGGCAACAGGCGAUGAAGGACGUAGUAAUCUGCGAUAAGCCUAGGGGAGCUGAUAAACACGCUUUGAUCCUAGGAUUUCCGAAUGGGGAAACCCACCUGAUUUAUCAGGUAUCCUUAACUGAAUACAUAGGUUAAGGAGGCGAACCCGGGGAACUGAAACAUCUAAGUACCCGGAGGAAAAGAAAUCAACCGAGAUUCCCUUAGUAGCGGCGAGCGAACGAGGCCUUAAGUUGAUAACGUUUUAGUAGAAUGCUCUGGAAAGUGCAGCAAUAGUGGGUGAUAGCCCCGUACACGAAAAGACGUUUUCAAUGAAAUCGAGUAGGGCGGGACACGUGAUAUCCUGUCUGAACAUGGGGGGCCCACCCUCCAAGCCUAAAUACUAGUUGCCGACCGAUAGUGAACCAGUACCGUGAGGGAAAGGCGAAAAGAACCCCUUUUAGGGGAGUGAAAUAGAACCUGAAACCGUGUGCAUACAAGCAGUAGGAGCUCUUCGUGAGUGACUGCGUACCUUUUGUAUAAUGGGUCAACGACUUACUUUUAGUGGCAAGCUUAACCGUAUAGGGGAGGCGUAGAGAAAUCGAGUCUUAAUAGGGCGUCGAGUCGCUAGGAGUAGACCCGAAACCGGGCGAUCUAUCCAUGGUCAGGUUGAAGGUGGGGUAACACCUACUGGAGGACCGAACCCACUUAUGUUGAAAAAUGAGGGGAUGAACUGUGGAUAGGAGUGAAAGGCUAAUCAAGCCCGGAGAUAGCUGGUUCUCCUCGAAAUCUAUUUAGGUAGAGCCUCGUGUAUAACUGUUGGGGGUAGAGCACUGUUAUGGCUAGGGGGUCAUCCCGACUUACCAACCCAUUGCAAACUCCGAAUACCGACAAGUUUCAGCACGGGAGACAGACUGCGGGUGCUAACGUCCGUUGUCAAGAGGGAAACAACCCAGACCACCAGCUAAGGUCCCUAAAUAUAGCUCAGUGGGAAACGAUGUGAGAAGGCACAGACAGCCAGGAGGUUGGCUUAGAAGCAGCCACCCUUUAAAGAAAGCGUAAUAGCUCACUGGUCGAGUCGGCUCGCGCGGAAGAUGUAACGGGGCUUAAGCUAUAUACCGAAGCUGUGGAUUCAUACUUAUGUAUGAGUGGUAGAGGAGCGUUCUGUAAGCCUGUGAAGGUGUUCUGUAAGGAAUGCUGGAGGUAUCAGAAGUGCGAAUGUUGACGUGAGUAACGAUAAUGCGGGUGAGAAACCCGCACGCCGAAAACCCAAGGUUUCCUGCGCAACGCUAAUCGGCGCAGGGUUAGUCGGCUAAGGCGAGGCCGAAAGGCGUAGUCGAUGGGAAACAGGUUAAUAUUCCUGUACCUCUUUUAACUGCGAUGGGGGGACGGAGAAGGGUAGACCAUCCGGGUGUUGGAUGUCCCGGUUUAAGCGAGUAGGCGGGGAAGGCAGGCAAAUCCACUUUCCUAUGAAACGCCAAGACGUGAUGACGAGAGCUUUAAGCUCAUAAAGUGGUUAAUCCCAUGCUUCCAAGAAAAGCCUCUAAGCUUCAGGUUAUAAGAGACCGUACCGAAAACCGACUCAGGUGGGCGGGCAGAAAAUGCCAAGGUGAUUGAGAUAACUCUGGUUAAGGAACUCGGCAAAAUAACACCGUAACUUCGGGAGAAGGUGUGCCUCCAUUAGGUGAUACGACUUGCUCGUGGAGCCGAAGGGGGUCGCAGAGAAAUGGCGGUAGCGACUGUUUACUAAAAACACAGCACUCUGCAAACUCGUAAGAGGAAGUAUAGGGUGUGACGCCUGCCCGGUGCCGGAAGGUUAAUUGAUGGGGUUAGUCCUCGGACGAAGCUCUUGAUCGAAGCCCCGGUAAACGGCGGCCGUAACUAUAACGGUCCUAAGGUAGCGAAAUUCCUUGUCGGGUAAGUUCCGACC
Molecule: ribosomal RNA, 1940 nt
Filed under: marine sediment metagenome
Description: bacterial LSU rRNA
Rfam family: Bacterial large subunit ribosomal RNA
Source: RNAcentral